RNAcentral lists this ribosomal RNA (492 nucleotides) under uncultured bacterium. RNAcentral describes it as "partial 16S ribosomal RNA". It matches the Rfam family "Bacterial small subunit ribosomal RNA", at positions 29 to 507 of the family's 1533-position model. The record is from RNAcentral.
AGUGAACGCUGGCGGUAGGCCUAACACAUGCAAGUCGAACGGCAGCACAGUAAGAGCUUGCUCUUACGGGUGGCGAGUGGCGGACGGGUGAGGAAUACAUCGGAAUCUACUUUUUCGUAGGGGAUAACGUAGGGAAACUUACGCUAAUACCGCAUACGACCUACGGGUGAAAGCAGGGGAUCUUCGGACCUUGCGCGAUUGAAUGAGCCGAUGUCGGAUUAGCUAGUUGGCGGGGUAAAGGCCCACCAAGGCGACGAUCCGUAGCUGGUCUGAGAGGAUGAUCAGCCACACUGGAACUGAGACACGGUCCAGACUCCUACGGGAGGCAGCAGUGGGGAAUAUUGGACAAAGGGCGCAAGCCUGAUCCAGCCAUACCGCGUGGGUGAAGAAGGCCUUCGGGUUGUAAAGCCCUUUUGUUGGGAAAGAAAAGCAGCAGGUUAAUACCCCGCUGUUCUGACGGUACCCAAAGAAUAAGCACCGGCUAACUUCGUG